Long non-coding RNA from Oncorhynchus keta (chum salmon), 1003 nucleotides. RefSeq lists it as uncharacterized. The record is from RefSeq and is a predicted model, not a curated record. NCBI's taxonomy places the organism in Eukaryota, Metazoa, Chordata, Actinopteri, Salmoniformes, Salmonidae. The transcript has 4 exons.
AAGGGAGGGAGGAGUAAUGGAGGGAAAGAGUUAAAGUUUGCCCAUAGAGUAAUUCAACCGAUGUUGAGAGACUGUCUACUACUCGCGCACUAUUUGCUUAUUACAAACUAAACUAGCUGGAUUUGAUGUAUCCUAUUUUUUUUAAUUCGACUCCUCGCAGAAGCAAAACUAUUUCAAGAAUUCCCAUGGCAUAGUGUAACGUAUACUUUUUUGGUAAGCAGCUGAAACCUUCAUGAAAUAAAGUCUAACAUCUGGAUACUGUGCGAGGAAGAUGACUCAUUCAUGCCAGAAAUCGUGUAAAUAUGUCUGAGGCAUAGUAGAGAGCAAUCUUAUUCUUUAAGAGCAAUCCUGAAUGAAGAUGAACGGCAGCGGAGGGUGUGUGGCGUUAUUUGUUCUUCUGUUGAUGGAUAUGGCUACAGUGCCAGAGCCCGGCCAACGUAACCUUAUCCCUGGGUAAGCCGCUACAGGUGCUCUGUACUCUCCAGGGAGAUGGGGGGUGGAGAGGAGCCUCCGGGUGUGGUGUGGUUGAGGGACAGUCAAUCCCUGGAUUACGCUGACACCAAUCAAGUGCAAGUGCCUGUCACUGAAGGAGAAUUGAUCAUGUGAAGCUGUCAGACAUUGGGAGAUAAUGUUGUAUGGCAACAGUUGGGAGGAAGGACUUGAUGUCUCAGGAGGGGCACAUUCAGCUGGAGGGAAUCCCACAUUUCUCAGUGAAGCCUCAUGACGUGACAGUGGUGGCUACUGUUAGCCUCAGCCUGCAGUGUUUGGCCCAUGGGCCUCCAGAACCAGUCAGGAUCAUCUGGCUGCAGAACGGAGGACCACUCAACACGAUACAGGACCCGGUGUCCCAUUCUCCCUCUACUCUCAAUAUCACAGGCAAAGACUGUCUUAUUUGUGUUUGGCCCAUGGGCCUCCAGAACCAUCAUCUGGCUGCAGAACGGAGGACCACUCAACACGAUACAGGACCCAGUGUCCCAUUCUCCCUCUACUCUCAAUAUCACAG